GGUAAAAUGGCUGAUAAGAGCAUUAGACUGUAAAUCUAAAGAUAGGGGUUUAAGUCCUCUUUUUGCCA
This 68-nucleotide transfer RNA is filed under the name Canis lupus familiaris (dog). RNAcentral's name for it is "tRNA-Tyr". It matches the Rfam family "tRNA". Rfam says of the family: Transfer RNA (tRNA) molecules are approximately 80 nucleotides in length. Their secondary structure includes four short double-helical elements and three loops (D, anti-codon, and T loops). The record is from RNAcentral. Lineage: Eukaryota; Metazoa; Chordata; Mammalia; Carnivora; Canidae.